GUUUUCAUUAAUCAAGAACGAAAGUUAGGGGAUCGAAGACGAUCAGAUACCGUCGUAGUCUUAACCAUAAACGAUGCCGACCAGCGAUUAGGAGACGUUGAAUACAAAACACCACCAUCGGCGCGGUCGUCCUUGGCUGGUCGUCCUCACGGGGCGGCCGGCGGGGGCGGCUUAGCCCGAUGGCACCGGUGAAU
This 194-nucleotide ribosomal RNA is filed under the name Acanthamoeba sp. Its description in RNAcentral is "partial small subunit ribosomal RNA". It matches the Rfam family "Eukaryotic small subunit ribosomal RNA", at positions 966 to 1097 of the family's 1831-position model. Lineage: Eukaryota; Discosea; Longamoebia; Acanthamoebidae. The record is from RNAcentral.